ACCUGGGUGGCUCAGUUGGUUGAGCGUCUGACUUUGACUCAGAUCAUGAUCUCGCGGCUCGUUGCGUGUGGCUUGUGAGUGUGAGCCCCAUGUC
This 94-nucleotide transfer RNA is filed under the name Felis catus (domestic cat). The record is from Rfam by way of RNAcentral. Lineage: Eukaryota; Metazoa; Chordata; Mammalia; Carnivora; Felidae.